RNAcentral lists this long non-coding RNA (819 nucleotides) under Sinocyclocheilus grahami. RNAcentral's name for it is "lncRNA (ENSSGRG00000010053.1)". Lineage: Eukaryota; Metazoa; Chordata; Actinopteri; Cypriniformes; Cyprinidae. The record is from RNAcentral.
GUCCUUCGUGAGAGAACAGAUUUGCUAAACGACCUAGUCUGGUUGAGUUUGGUAUUUACCGAGCAAACCAGCUCCCAUCAAUACUGAAAGUAAAAGCACGCAGUGAAGGUGUAGCCAGUUUUGGUGUUUGCCAGACAAUGCCUGAGCCUGUGUAAUCUGAGGACACGUCGAGCGCUUAUUACAGUAAAAAGCUUAUUUUUGCUUCACAACUUUAAUGUAAUGGAUUAAUAAUCUUCAGUAAACAUGGAAUAUCUCAUUGAAACAGAUGCUGAAUCGCAAGAUAUUGUCCCAGACCCAAUGUCUGAACUUUUACCUGACAAUGUCAUCUCAGAAUAUCUCGACUCACUUGAGUUUUUUGAAGAAGAUUUCGAUCCCAAAUUCUUUGAUAACUUUUCAGCAGUCGACACAGACACAACCUGCACGCCAAUACCAGAAGCUGCUUCUUUCCCAGAUGAAGUGCAAAGCAGAAAGCGAAAAGUUGAUGCAACUUCACACAAAACCCGCAGAUCCAAACGCAACAAAAAAGCAACAGCGUGGCCUAAAAGUCCCUCAAACGGAAGGCCGCCCAACAUUACCCCUGAGAGUAGCUUUCUUCUGAGUUCAAACCCAUUCCAGCAUGUAUUGCGCAUUCCCUUGAGCCCCCCUCUUCUGCCCUCUAGUGGAGGUUCACCACUACAAUUCAUCCAGACCAUCGGCCCUUAUACAGCGCCUCUAAUUGGCACUGUGGUUCCAACAGGGCCUACAUACGUGAUUGGUGAGUCCACUGUAAAAGCAUCAUUAAACAGCUGCAUGUGCCUGCAUGCCUGCAUGUUAUUUUAA